GAUGAACGCUGGCGGCGUGCCUAAUACAUGCAAGUCGAACGAAACUUCUUUAUCACCGAGUGCGGGCAAUCACCGAUAAAGAUAUGAGUGGCGAAGGGGUGAGUAACAGGUGGGCAACCUGCCCAAAAGAGGAGAAUAACACGUGGAAACAGGUGCUACUACCGAAUAACAAUAGUUACCGCAUGGUAACUAUGUAAACGGUGGCGGUACUACCGCGUUUGGAUGUGCACGCGGCGCAUGAGCUAGUUGGGAGGGUAAAGGAUUACCAAGGCAAGGAUGCUUACCCGACUUCAGAGCUUGAUUCCCCACCUUGCGUCUGAGACUCGGCCCCCACUCCUACGGGAGGCCGCAGUCGGGACUCUUCCACAAUGCGCGAAUGCCUGAUAGUGCAACGCCGCGUGGAUCAAGAAGGUCCUCCGCUCCUUAAACCCUGUUGUUAGACAAGAAAUUGCGUGAUAGCAACUGUUCACGUUUCGACGGUACCUAACCAGAAAGCCCCGGCUAACUACGUG
This 512-nucleotide ribosomal RNA is filed under the name uncultured bacterium. Its description in RNAcentral is "partial 16S ribosomal RNA". It matches the Rfam family "Bacterial small subunit ribosomal RNA", at positions 28 to 507 of the family's 1533-position model. The record is from RNAcentral.